AAAAAAACAACAAAACCUAAAACAAAACCUGGCCGUCCCUACCCUAUUCCAGAAUCAGGAAAAAAGAAAAGAGCGAGAGAGAGAAGAUGAUGAAAACGUCAAUGGCUUCCCUAAGGUCAUUCUCCGCGAGGUUCGUGGUUGCUCCGCUGAGGUCUAUUGUUCAGUUAAGGUUUGUCGGAACCACAAGCAAAGAGAGAUAGGCCGUAUCCCCGUAACCGAAGCUAAGAGAAAGUAAGGACCUACAAUCAAGGAUGUUGGGAAAGGUAGAGAUAGAGUUAUUUUCUAUAUUUUGCUCCCAUGUCUUGCUGCUUGCUUUGUUGUAUAUGUUCUUCCCGUUGGUUGUGCAGGGUGAAUGGGAAAAGGAGCUACCUUUGUUGGGUUUCUUGGUUCAAUAAGAAAAAGGAGGAAGCUUUAUACGUUUUUGGUCGUGCUUUCCUUGGGUUUCUUUGAGAGGUUGGUUUGACUGUUGUGGAGAGUUGUUGGUGGUCUUUUUGGGUUAGGAAAAGAUUCUGUUUAU
Quercus lobata is the source of this 517-nucleotide long non-coding RNA. RefSeq lists it as uncharacterized. Lineage: Eukaryota; Viridiplantae; Streptophyta; Magnoliopsida; Fagales; Fagaceae. The record is from RefSeq and is a predicted model, not a curated record. The transcript is spliced from 3 exons.